GACUCUGAGGAAGGAAAUACAGGAGUUACGUGUCCAGCGAGAAUUUGGGUUACAGCGUUUUGCUGGCUCCGACACUGACAUCCGAUUCUAUACCAGAUUUCCAAGCUAUGAUCAUUUGAUGGCAUUCUGGGUUUUGAUUGAGCCUUGCAUCUAUAAAAUGAUCCGGGUUUCAAGAGCCAAGUCAGCUGCCAAUCGGAACGAAGAAGUGUUGACACCUGCACGCACAUCAACAAGGCAGCUGCUACAGCCAAUUGACGAGUUUUUUCUUUUCCUGGUUUUCCUGUCAGUUGGUUUGAAGGAGAGGGACCUGGCACACCGAUUUAACAUACACCAGUCCACAGUGAGCCGCAUUAUUGCAACAUGGACAAAUUUUCUUGCCACUGCACUGGGGUCUCAGUGCAUCUGGCUUACACGUGAAGAAGUGCAAGCUUACCUCCCUGAGGAAUUCAAAGAUUUCUCAGACACCCAGAUGAUCCUUGACUGUACAGAGCUGAGGUGUCAGACACCAUCCUCACCACUUCUCCAAAGUGAAAUGUACUCUUCGUACAAA
Non-coding RNA from Maylandia zebra (zebra mbuna), 550 nucleotides. NCBI's taxonomy places the organism in Eukaryota, Metazoa, Chordata, Actinopteri, Cichliformes, Cichlidae. The record is from RefSeq and is a predicted model, not a curated record.